AGUGAACGCUGGCGGCGUGCCUAACACAUGCAAGUCGAACGAUGAAGAGCAGCUUGCUGCUCGGAUUAGUGGCGCACGGGUGAGUAAUGAAUAGGUAAUGUGCCCCUUAGUCUGGGAUAGCCACUGGAAACGGUGAUUAAUACUAGAUACUCUUUCUUGUCUUAAGGCAAGUCGGGAAAGUUUUUCGCUAAGGGAUCAGCCUAUGUCCUAUCAGGUAGUUGGUGAGGUAACGGCUCACCAAGCCAAUGACGGGUAUCUGGUUUGAGAGGAUGAUCAGACACACUGGAACUGAGACACGGUCCAGACUCCUACGGGAGGCAGCAGUGAGGAAUAUUGCACAAUGGAGGAAACUCUGAUGCAGCAACGCCGCGUGGAGGAUGACGCAUUUCGGUGUGUAAACUCCUUUUAAGAGGGAAGAUUAUGACGGUACCUCUUGAAUAAGCACCGGCUAACUCCGUGCCAGCAGCCGCCGUAA
RNAcentral lists this ribosomal RNA (475 nucleotides) under uncultured bacterium. RNAcentral's name for it is "partial 16S ribosomal RNA". It matches the Rfam family "Bacterial small subunit ribosomal RNA", at positions 29 to 523 of the family's 1533-position model. The record is from RNAcentral.